Molecule: ribosomal RNA, 198 nt
Filed under: uncultured bacterium
Lineage: Bacteria
Description: partial 16S ribosomal RNA
Rfam family: Bacterial small subunit ribosomal RNA
Source: RNAcentral
ACGCUCGACACCUACGGUAGGCAGCAGUGGGGAAUAUUGCACAAUGGGGGAAACCCUGAUGCAGCAACGCCGCGUGAAGGAAGACGGUUUUCGGAUUGUAAACUUCUGUUCUUAGUGAAGAUAGUGACGGUAGCUAAGGAGCAAGCCACGGCUAACUACGUGCCAGCAGCCGCGGUAAUCUGAGCGGGCUGGCAAGGC